GACGAACGCUGGCGGCGUGCUUAACACAUGCAAGUCGAACGGAAAGGCCUGCAGCUUGCUGCGGGUACUCGAGUGGCGAACGGGUGAGUAACACGUGGGUGAUCUGCCUUGCACUUCGGGAUAAGCUUGGGAAACUGGGUCUAAUACCGGAUAGGACAGCUGUUUAGUGUCCGUUGUGGAAAGUUUUUUCGGUGCCAGAUGAGCUCGCGGCCUAUCAGCUUGUUGGUGGGGUAAUGGCCUACCAAGGCGUCGACGGGUAGCCGGCCUGAGAGGGUGUACGGCCACAGUGGGACUGAGAUACGACCCAGACGCCAACGGGAGGCAGCAGUGGGGAAUAUUGCACAAUGGGCGGAAGCCAGAUGCAGCGACGCCGCGUGGGGGAUGAAGGCCUUCGGGUUGUAAACUCCUGUCGACAGGGACGGAGCUUUUGUGACGGUACCUGAAGAAGAAGCACCGGCUAACUACGUG
RNAcentral lists this ribosomal RNA (468 nucleotides) under uncultured bacterium. RNAcentral describes it as "partial 16S ribosomal RNA". It matches the Rfam family "Bacterial small subunit ribosomal RNA", at positions 28 to 507 of the family's 1533-position model. The record is from RNAcentral.